GACGAACGCUGGCGGCGUGCCUAAUACAUGCAAGUCGAGCGCUGAAGGAUGGUACUUGUACUAACUGGAUGAGCAGCGAACGGGUGAGUAACGCGUGGGGAAUCUGCCUUUGAGCGGGGGACAAUAUUUGGAAACGAAUGCUAAUACCGCAUCAAAACUUUAAAGACAAGUUUUAAGUUUGAAAGAUGCAUUUCCAUCACUCAAAAAUGAUCCCGCGUUGUAUUAGCUAGUUGGGGAGGUAAAGGCUCACCCAGGCGUUGAUACAUAGCCGGCCUGGGAGGGAGAACGGCCACAUUGGGACCGGGAAACGGGCCAAGAUCCUACGGGGAGGAGCAGGAGGGAAUCUUCGGAAAAGGAGGGAAGGCUGACCGCAGAACGCCGGGGGGGGGGAGGAGGGUCUCGGGUCGUAAAAGUCCUUUGGUAGGGAAGAACGUGGGGGAGGGUGAAAAGCUCAUCAAGUGACGGUAACUACACAGAAAGGGACGGCUAACUACGUG
RNAcentral lists this ribosomal RNA (497 nucleotides) under uncultured bacterium. Its description in RNAcentral is "partial 16S ribosomal RNA". It matches the Rfam family "Bacterial small subunit ribosomal RNA", at positions 28 to 507 of the family's 1533-position model. The record is from RNAcentral.